CCUCUGCCUUCCCGGGCCCCCUACCCGACCCCAAGACAACAGGCCCCAUCUAUGAGGAAUUACUCAACCCAAACACAGAGGUGUACUGCCGCAUCAUCCCCAGAGCAGACGUGGCGUCUUAGUUCCUCCAGGACCUGAGACCCCAGACCCUGUGGAUGUGGCCUGUGCCAGAGAACCAGCUCUGAGCAUCAU
Long non-coding RNA from Myotis daubentonii (Daubenton's bat), 192 nucleotides. RefSeq lists it as uncharacterized. The transcript has 3 exons. NCBI's taxonomy places the organism in Eukaryota, Metazoa, Chordata, Mammalia, Chiroptera, Vespertilionidae. The record is from RefSeq and is a predicted model, not a curated record.